This 161-nucleotide small RNA is filed under the name Sphenodon punctatus (tuatara). RNAcentral describes it as "TUC338 (ENSSPUG00000012402.1)". The record is from RNAcentral. Lineage: Eukaryota; Metazoa; Chordata; Lepidosauria; Sphenodontia; Sphenodontidae.
UUGACAGCACUGUAGAUGAAAUUCCUCUGUUAACAGGUACCAGCAAUAUAAGUUUCUCUACUCUGACCAAACAUUGUCUGCCUCCAUCCUGACCUGAAAGGACCACCUGUAGGAGUAAAAUGUUAGUUCGGUAUCCAUGACCCAUUCAUUCCUUGGCCACU